RNAcentral lists this ribosomal RNA (2118 nucleotides) under human gut metagenome. RNAcentral describes it as "bacterial LSU rRNA". It matches the Rfam family "Bacterial large subunit ribosomal RNA", at positions 337 to 2436 of the family's 2925-position model. The record is from RNAcentral.
ACGGCAUGGGAGGGCCGGCCGCAGCGGGUGACAGCCCCGUACGCGAACCCAGACCGGACGGCGCGACGCGGUCCCUGAGUAGGGCCGGGCACGUGAAACCCGGUCCGAACCUGGGUGGACCACCAUCCAAGCCUGAGUACUACCCUGUGACCGAUAGCGCACCAGUACCGUGAGGGAAAGGUGAAAAGCACCCCGGGAGGGGAGUGAAACAGUACCUGAAACCGUGCGCCCACGAGCAGUCGGAGCAACUUUUAAGUUGUGACGGCGUGCCUUUUGUAGAAUGAGCCAGCGAGUCGCUGGCGCGGGGCGAGGUUAACCGAAAGGGAGCCGGAGCGAAAGCGAGCCUUAACAGGGCGACUUGAGUCCCGCGCCGCGGACGCGAAGCCGGGUGAGCUAUCCGUGGGCAGGCUGAAGCGGGGGUAAGACCCCGUGGAGGGCCGAACGCACGUCGGUUGAAAACGGCGGCGAUGACCUGCGGAUAGGGGUGAAAGGCCAAUCAAACCCGGAGAUAUCUCGUUCUCCCCGAAAUAGCUUUAGGGCUAGCGUCGCGCGUUCACCGCCGGAGGUAGAGCACCGGAUGGACGAGGGGGCUUCGCCGCCUACCGAAUCCAACCGAACUCCGAAUGCCGGCGGCCCAGAGCGCGGCAGUCAGAGCAUGUGGGCUAAGCUGUGUGCUCGAGAGGGAAACAGCCCGGACCGCCCGCUAAGGUCCCCAAGUUCCAGCCGAGUGGCAAAGGAUGUGCGUCCGCCCAGACAACCAGGAUGUUGGCUUAGAAGCAGCCAUGCAUUCAAAGAGUGCGUAACAGCUCACUGGUCGAGUGGACAUGCGCCGACAAUACACGGGGCUAAGCUGGACACCGAAGCGGCGGGAUUUUAUUCAUUAGAAUCGGUAGGGGAGCUUCCCAUGGGCGGAGAAGCCGGAGGGCGACCGACGGUGGAGCGCAUGGGAGUGAGAAUGCUGGCAUGAGUAGCGAGAGACGAGAGAGUAACUCGUCCGCCGUGAACCCGAGGUUUCCUGGGCAAGGCUAAUCCUCCCAGGGUCAGUCGGGGGCUAAGGCGAGGCCGGGAGGCGUAGCCGACGCGCAGCAGGCAGACAUUCCUGCACCGCGCACGCGGCGCUACGACCGACGGGGCGACGGAUGGGGGUGGCUCGGCGGGGUUCUGGACGUCCCCGUGAUGGAGCGCGGCCCGCGGACCAGGGAAAUCCGGUCCGCACGAGGGCGAGGCUCCGGACGAAGCGACUGAGCGAAGCGAGUGAGCCCGAGGUCCCUAGAAAAACCCCUAGGCAGGCGCGUGCGCGCCCGUACCGCAAACCGACACAGGUGGGUGGGUAGAACAUACCGAGGCGAUCGGGUCAACCAUGGUCAAGGAACUCGGCACAAUGGCCCCGUAACUUCGGGAGAAGGGGUGCCCGCGCGUACGUGAACGGACUUGCUCCGGGAGCGGAGGCGGGCCGCAGUGGAGAGGCCCAAGCGACUGUUUACCAAAAACACAGGACUCUGCAGAAGCCGCAAGGCGACGUAUAGGGUCUGACGCCUGCCCGGUGCCGGAAGGUCACGCGGAGGGGUUAGCCAUUUCGGCGAAGCCCCGAAGCCAAGCCCCGGUAAACGGCGGCCGUAACUAUAACGGUCCUAAGGUAGCGAAAUUCCUUGUCGGGUAAGUUCCGACCUGCACGAAAGGCGCAACGACUUGGGCGCUGUCUCGACCAUGGACCCGGUGAAAUUGCACUGGUCGUGAAGAUGCGACUUACCCGCGGAAGGACGGAAAGACCCCGUGAACCUUCACUGCAGCUUGGCAUUGGCCGCUGGUCCCGCGUGUAGAGGAUAGGCAGGAGGCAUCGAUCCGGAGGCGCCAGCCCCCGGGGAGCCGCCCUUGGAAUACUGCCCUCGCGCGACCGGCGUCCUAACCCGAGGCCGUCAACCGGCUCGGGGACCGUGCCAGGCGGGCAGUUUGACUGGGGCGGUCGCCUCCUAAAGGGUAACGGAGGCGCGCGAAGGUCCGCUCGGGACGGUCGGCAACCGUCCUUUUGAAUGCAAGAGUACAAGCGGGCUUGACUGCGAGGCCCACAAGCCGAGCAGGUGCGAAAGCAGGCUCUAGUGAUCCGGCGGCCCCGAGUGG